Molecule: ribosomal RNA, 460 nt
Filed under: uncultured bacterium
Lineage: Bacteria
Description: partial 16S ribosomal RNA
Rfam family: Bacterial small subunit ribosomal RNA
Source: RNAcentral
CCUACGGGUGGCAGCAGUGAGGAAUAUUGGUCAAUGGACGCGAGCCUGAACCAGCCAAGUAGCGUGAAGGAUGACUGCCCUACGGGUUGUAAACUUCUUUUAUAUAGGAAUAAAAUGAGGCACGUAUGCCUUUUUGUAUGUACUUUAUGAAUAAGGAUCGGCUAACUCCGUGCCAGCAGCCGCGGUCAUACGGAGGAUCCGAGCGUUAUCCGGAUUUAUUGGGUUUAAAGGGAGCGUAGAUGGGUUGUUAAGUCAGUUGUGAAAGUUUGCGGCUCAACCGUAAAAUUGCAAUUGAUACUGGCAGCCUUGAGUACAGUUGAGGUAGGCGGAAUUCGUGGUGUAGCGGUGAAAUGCUUAGAUAUCACGAAGAACUCCGAUUGCGAAGGCAGCUUACUAAACUGCCACUGACACUGAUGCUCGAAAGUGUGGGUAUCAAACAGGAUUAGAUACCCCAGUAGUC